Molecule: ribosomal RNA, 465 nt
Filed under: uncultured bacterium
Lineage: Bacteria
Description: partial 16S ribosomal RNA
Rfam family: Bacterial small subunit ribosomal RNA
Source: RNAcentral
GACGAACGCUGGCGGCGUGCUUAACACAUGCAAGUCGAACGGAAAGGCCCCUUUGGGGGUACUCGAGUGGCGCACGGGUGAGUAACACGUGAGUAACCUGCCCUUGACUUCGGGAUAACUUCAUGAAACUGGGGCUAAUACCGGAUAGGAAUCCUUGCUGCAUGGUGGGGGUUGGAAAGCUUCGGCGGUUUUGGAUGGACUCGCGGCUUAUCGGCUUGUUGGUGGGGUAGUGGCUUACCAAGGCUUUGACGGGUAGCCGGCCUGAGAGGGCGACCGGCCACAUUGGGACUGAGAUACGGCCCAGACUCCUACGGGAGGCAGCAGUGGGGAAUAUUGCACAAUGGGCGGAAGCCUGAUGCAGCAACGCCGCGUGCGGGAUGACGGCCUUCGGGUUGUAAACCGCUUUCAGCAGGGGCGAAGCUUGUGGUGACGGUACCUGCAGAAGAAGCACCGGCUAACUACGUG